UGUCCGUUGAGCCCUGCUCCUUCGCCCUGGUGGGGCGCUGCGCUGUCAGAGGCCUUGGUG
Molecule: unclassified non-coding RNA, 60 nt
Organism: Cercocebus atys (sooty mangabey)
Lineage: Eukaryota; Metazoa; Chordata; Mammalia; Primates; Cercopithecidae
Source: Ensembl